AGAACGAACGCUGGCGGCGACGUCUUAAACAUGCAAGUCGAACGAUCUGUAGCAAUACAGGGAGUGGCGGACGGGUGAGGAACACGUAGGAAUCUACCUUGAAGAGCGGGACAACUUUGGGAAACCGGGGCUAAUACCGCAUAGUACAGAGAUGUUAAAGGGCUAGCAAUAGUCGCUUCGAGAUGAGCCUGCGGUCUAUCAGCUUGUUGGUGAGGUAAUGGCUCACCAAGGCUACGACGGAUAGCCGGUCUGAGAGGAUGAUCGGCCACACUGGCACUGAGACACGGGCCAGACUCCUACGGGAGGCAGCAGUUAAGAAUCUUGCGCAAUGGGGGAAACCCUGACGCAGCGACGCCGCGUGAAGGAUGAAGGCUUUCGGGUUGUAAACUUCGGUAGACUGGGAAGAAGAAAUACGUUCGUUGAGGGCGUAUAGUGACGGUACCAGUCUGAAGCCCCGGCUAAUUACGUG
RNAcentral lists this ribosomal RNA (469 nucleotides) under uncultured bacterium. Its description in RNAcentral is "bacterial SSU rRNA". It matches the Rfam family "Bacterial small subunit ribosomal RNA", at positions 26 to 507 of the family's 1533-position model. The record is from RNAcentral.